Non-coding RNA from Arachis ipaensis, 360 nucleotides. Lineage: Eukaryota; Viridiplantae; Streptophyta; Magnoliopsida; Fabales; Fabaceae. The record is from RefSeq and is a predicted model, not a curated record.
UUUUUUUUGGCUCACGUGACAGUUGCACAAUCAUCAGAUCAAUCUCGUAAAGUGAAGCAAGUUAUUGCACAAAAAUCAAGCAAAUGUAUAACUAAGAAAAAGAAUUUGGGGGGCUUAUGUAGAAUGCCCCACUGCAUAGAUUACAUUCAUUGCAGACGGUACAUAAUUUGACAACAAAUGUGGAACCCAUUUUGGUUGCCGCUAAACACACCUCUCAAUUGGACCUCUAGAGAAAAGGAAGGAAAGUGAAAAGCUUAGUUGGUAAUUUGGUAUUGAACAAUUCAAGUAGCUUUGGGAAGCAGUUGCUAGUAGGGUUGGUGACGAUUUUUCUUGCGAGUCUUGUCGGAUUUCAUAAUCAAU